AAACUUGAGAGUUUGAUCCUGGCUCAGAACGAACGCUGGCGGCAGGCUUAACACAUGCAAGUCGAACGCCCCGCAAGGGGAGUGGCAGACCGGUGAGUAACGCGUGGGAAGCUACCCAGUUCUACGGAACAACAGAGGGAAACUUCUGCUAAUACCGUAUACGCCCUACGGGGGAAAGAUUUAUCGGAAUUGGAUGAGCCCGCGUAAGAUUAGCUAGUUGGUGGGGUAAUGGCCUACCAAGGCGACGAUCUUUAGCUGGU
Molecule: ribosomal RNA, 260 nt
Filed under: Devosia sp.
Lineage: Bacteria; Pseudomonadati; Pseudomonadota; Alphaproteobacteria; Hyphomicrobiales; Devosiaceae
Description: partial 16S ribosomal RNA
Rfam family: Bacterial small subunit ribosomal RNA
Source: RNAcentral